GGCGAACGCUGGCGGCGUGCUUAACACAUGCAAGUCGAACGGAAAGGCCCUGCUUUUGUGGGGUGCUCGAGUGGCGAACGGGUGAGUAACACGUGAGUAACCUGCCCUUGACUUUGGGAUAACUUCAGGAAACUGGGGCUAAUACCGGAUAGGAGCUCCUGCUGCAUGGUGGGGGUUGGAAAGUUUCGGCGGUUGGGGAUGGACUCGCGGCUUAUCAGCUUGUUGGUGGGGUAGUGGCUUACCAAGGCUUUGACGGGUAGCCGGCCUGAGAGGGUGACCGGCCACAUUGGGACUGAGAUACGGCCCAGACUCCUACGGGAGGCAGCAGUGGGGAAUAUUGCACAAUGGGCGGAAGCCUGAUGCAGCAACGCUGCGUGCGGGAUGACGGCCUUCGGGUUGUAAACCGCUUUCGCCUGUGACGAAGCGUGAGUGACGGUAAUGGGUAAAGAAGCACCGGCUAACUACGUG
Molecule: ribosomal RNA, 468 nt
Filed under: uncultured bacterium
Lineage: Bacteria
Description: partial 16S ribosomal RNA
Rfam family: Bacterial small subunit ribosomal RNA
Source: RNAcentral